AGUACAAUAGCUGGAUUGUAUGGUAGCUGAGUGUUUUAUUUAAAAAUUGCCAAACUAUUAUCAGUGACUAUCAUUUCACAUUCCCACUAGCAAU
This 94-nucleotide microRNA precursor is filed under the name Marmota monax (woodchuck). Lineage: Eukaryota; Metazoa; Chordata; Mammalia; Rodentia; Sciuridae. The record is from RNAcentral.